This 325-nucleotide long non-coding RNA is filed under the name Lathyrus oleraceus (garden pea). RNAcentral describes it as "Pisum sativum (pea) long non-coding RNA (PSAT_LNC011555)". The record is from RNAcentral. Lineage: Eukaryota; Viridiplantae; Streptophyta; Magnoliopsida; Fabales; Fabaceae.
AAUCAUUAUGCAGGUUGUUUCUCAAACCCAUUGAACAUAAUGAUCGGACGUCAUCUCCCAAUUUUGAAUUCCCUGUAUUCGAAGCGGAAGAAGAUGAUGUUGAAGGGAUUCCUGACGAGAUUUCCCGACUUCUUGAGUGAGAAAAGAAGAUCACACUCAGCUGCAUCUCGAGAAUCAGCGGAACAGCCAACUGGGGCAUUAUCAAAAAGAAGAAAAAAAAAAUGAAAAAAGAGUAGGGUGCAAAAUCCAAGAAAAAAAAAUAAAAUCAGAAGAAAUCAAAAGGAAGCAAAAUCAAAAGAAAUCAAAAGCAAAAUCAAAAGAAAAC